AUUGAACGCUGGCGGCAGGCCUAACACAUGCAAGUCGAACGGUAACAGGAAGAAGCUUGCUUCUUUGCUGACGAGUGGCGGACGGGUGAGUAAUGUCUGGGAAACUGCCUGAUGGAGGGGGAUAACUACUGGAAACGGUAGCUAAUACCGCAUAACGUCGCAAGACCAAAGAGGGGGACCUUCGGGCCUCUUGCCAUCGGAUGAUCCCAGAUGGGAUUAGCUAGUAGGUGGGGUAACGGCUCACCUAGGCGACGAUCCCUAGCUGGUCUGAGAGGAUGACCAGCCACACUGGAACUGAGACACGGUCCAGACUCCUACGGGAGGCAGCAGUAGGGAAUAUUGCACAAUGGGCGCAAGCCUGAUGCAGCCAUGCCGCGUGUAUGAAGAAGGUCUUCGGGUUGUAAAGUACUUUCAGCGGGGAGGAAGGGAGUAAAGUUAAUACCUUUGCUCAUUGACGUUACCCGCAGAAGAAGCACCGGCUAACUCCGUG
This 490-nucleotide ribosomal RNA is filed under the name uncultured bacterium. RNAcentral's name for it is "partial 16S ribosomal RNA". It matches the Rfam family "Bacterial small subunit ribosomal RNA", at positions 30 to 507 of the family's 1533-position model. The record is from RNAcentral.